UUGGAGGGCAAGUCUGGUGCCAGCAGCCGCGGUAAUUCCAGCUCCAAUAGCGUAUAUUAAAGUUGUUGCAGUUAAAAAGCUCGUAGUUGAAUUUCGGGAUCAGUUGGUCGGUCGUGCCUCGGUACGUACUGGUCAAAUUGAUUCCUACCUUCUGACGAACCACGAUGUCAUUAAUUUGGUGUCGCGGGAAAUCAGGACUGUUACUUUGAAAAAAUUAGAGUGUUUAAAGCAGGCUCGCGCUUGAAUACAUUAGCAUGGAAUAAUGAAAUAGGACGUUUGAUUCUAUUUUGUUGGUUUCUAGGAUCGACGUAAUGAUUAAUAGGGAUAGUUGGGGGCAUUAGUAUUCAAUUGUCAGAGGUGAAAUUCUUGGAUUUAUUGAAGACUAACUACUGCGAAAGCAUUUGCCAAGGAUGUUUUCAUUAAUCAAGAACGAAAGUUAGGGGAUCGAAGACGAUCAGAUACCGUCGUAGUCUUAACCAUAAACUAUGCCGACUAGGGAUCGGAUGAUGUUAAUUUUUUAAUGACUCAUUCGGCGCCUUACGGGAAACA
RNAcentral lists this ribosomal RNA (549 nucleotides) under uncultured Glomus. Its description in RNAcentral is "SSU rRNA". It matches the Rfam family "Eukaryotic small subunit ribosomal RNA", at positions 548 to 1099 of the family's 1831-position model. Lineage: Eukaryota; Fungi; Glomeromycota; Glomeromycetes; Glomerales; Glomeraceae. The record is from RNAcentral.